UGGCUCAGUGGGUAAGAGCACCCGACUGCUCUUCCGGAGGUCCGGGGUUCAAAUCCCAG
This 59-nucleotide transfer RNA is filed under the name Mus musculus (house mouse). It matches the Rfam family "tRNA", at positions 8 to 63 of the family's 71-position model. From Rfam's summary of the family: Transfer RNA (tRNA) molecules are approximately 80 nucleotides in length. The record is from Rfam by way of RNAcentral. Lineage: Eukaryota; Metazoa; Chordata; Mammalia; Rodentia; Muridae.